AAGAAAGAAAGAAAGAAAGAAAGAAAGAAAGAAAGAAAGAAAGAAAGAAAGAAAGAAAGAAAGAAAGAAAGAAAGAAAGAAAGAGAAAGAAAGAAAAGAAAGAUCCCUUAGGAAGGGGUACCAGCUGAAGCAAAGAGACUUCUAAAGAGAUCUAGUAAGAGCGACAAUUAUUGUAAUGCAAGUCUUCCAGGGUGCCUCUUCUACUUACAGGCAGACCUAUACAGACACCAACAAAAUCUGCUUACUAGUUGAUUCUUAAUUGUAAAAUUCUUGGUGAAACCACACUUGUGUGAAAAAACCCUGUAAUCUCACCUCUUGUCGAAUGGUUUCUGAGAGGUUUUAGAUUGAGGAUUGCAGCAUUUCAUGACUUUGCAGAAGGAAAGCUGCCUUUGUAACUAGACAAUGAACAAUUCACACUCUACAAAAGAGAGUUAAAAGAGAUCAAUGAAAUGCAUAGAAACAGGAUUGUUUUGUAGUCUGUGGUUUCUAAUAUUGCUGUACCUGUGGCUUUAUGUUAUUGGGUGCUAUUAAUCUCAGAAGAAACAAUUAUUUUGUCUGAAGAAUGGGAUUGAGAAAAGGACACUGUAGUCCUCCAGAUAACAUUAAUCUACUGAUGAUUCUGAAGUGAAGACGUGAUUGAUGAAGUACCAGAAACUGGUGACGUAGGAAGUUGGCUGCAUUUUCAGAGGAUUUUUUCAGACAUCCAUCUGGCUUUAUUGAGGUAGCUGACAAGGAUUAUCCUUUUAUCCAUUUCCAAAUCUUCUCUGAAUUCCAAGAAAUAAAUGGUAGAGAUGAGAAGAAACCUGCUGAGAAUAUAGGCCAGACCACUUACAGGUUAUAGGCCAGACCACUUACAGGUUAGUGAGCACCAAUAUAUAUGUGAACCUCUAAAAAAAGACCUUAGCCACAAAUCGUAUCUUUCCAUAACAUCUUUCUUUUGCUUCAGUUUACCAUGUCAAAUGUAUUUUUUUUCUUCUUCUAGCUUGUGUUAAUAUAAGUUCAAUUCAUUAAUAAUUUCAUUUCAAAAAUUUUCUCAAACCUAAU
This 1044-nucleotide long non-coding RNA is filed under the name Corvus moneduloides (New Caledonian crow). RNAcentral describes it as "lncRNA (ENSCMUG00000019751.1)". The record is from RNAcentral. Lineage: Eukaryota; Metazoa; Chordata; Aves; Passeriformes; Corvidae.